RNAcentral lists this long non-coding RNA (390 nucleotides) under Canis lupus dingo (dingo). RNAcentral's name for it is "lncRNA (ENSCAFG00020001078.1)". Lineage: Eukaryota; Metazoa; Chordata; Mammalia; Carnivora; Canidae. The record is from RNAcentral.
UUCUAAAUUGAUGUAUUUCUUUCAGAUAAACGAGUAUCCAGGAAUUCUUUGAUAAUCGAAUAUCCAGGAAUUCUCACCUCAAACCUUGAAAUCAUUGCAAGUUUGCUGGUCUUCUUCAGAUUUGCUUACGCAGAGGCCGGUAUAAAUUUCCAGGUGGAAGAGACGAGUUGCUGACAUGUUUGUUUGGUCUGAGCCAGAGCUGUCAGCCUGGCCUGCCCGGGCCUCAGAGCGAUGGGCUCUUGACUUCCCCGGGCCUGUUCCCCAGUUUUUUUUUUUUUGAGAGAUAAUACAGGAUAGUAUUGUGAUAAGAGGAUGGAAACCAAGCUCUGCUCCGUGCUAGCUGUGCGACGUCGGGCAAGUAAGUCACUUACCCUCUCUGUGCCUGGGAUC